CCAAAAUAAAAGAAAGGUGUGCUUUGUACCACCACUAUUAUUGUAUACUCCUGAUAUGCUGACAUGCUAAUGUGUAGCGUGCAAAUUAAAAUUAUGACUUCAUAUGAAAUUGCACGUUGAUUGCAUUACAUGCGGUGAGCAAAUACAACACGAAAAUGUUCUAUUUGUUUUGAUAGUUGAUACCAAUGAAUCGAUUAAGAAAUAUUUUGUGCAGUUUCACUGAAAAACUAAGAAAUAUAGAGUUAUAUUUCGCUCCAACUCUUUUUGACCCAACGAAAUUAAUCAGCCUUCAAUAUCAAAAGGAUCCUAACUUGUUCAGUAUAGAUCAACAUCCUUUCUCUUUCAUAAGCAGAGAAAAAACGCAUACUAGUUACUGGGUCGCUUUUCUAUGGGACCAAAGCAUUUAUCCUCGUGGAAUCCGAAGAUCCUAAUCCAAACAUAUGACAACUUUGCUUACCACCGAUCGGACUUAGCACAAGUAGCAAAAAAUUUGAUGAUUGGUAUCAGAGGUUUUAAGUUCAAAUUUCAGUUUCUUCACAUUUUUAGUUUAAUUUAUUUCUAAAAAUAAAAUACACGAAACAGAUAACGUGCUAGUUUUUUCUAAAAAGAAAAAUAAUAACAACAAAUACGAAGUAAGGCUCCAACCUUCCAAAACCAAAAAAAAAAAAAA
This 670-nucleotide long non-coding RNA is filed under the name Ananas comosus (pineapple). RNAcentral's name for it is "long non-coding RNA (ACOM_LNC011463)". The record is from RNAcentral. Lineage: Eukaryota; Viridiplantae; Streptophyta; Magnoliopsida; Poales; Bromeliaceae.